CCUACGGGGGGCUGCAGUAGGGAAUCUUCCGCAAUGGACGAAAGUCUGACGGAGCAACGCCGCGUGAGCGACGAAGGUCUUCGGAUCGUAAAGCUCUGUUGUUAGGGAAGAACAAGUGCGGGAGGAAAUGACCGUACCUUGACGGUACCUAACGAGGAAGCCACGGCUAACUACGUGCCAGCAGCCCCGGUAAUACGUAGGUGGCAAGCGUUGUCCGGAAUUAUUGGGCGUAAAGCGCGCGCAGGCGGUCUUUUAAGUCUGAUGUGAAAUCUGGCGGCUCAACCGCAAGCGGUCAUUGGAGACUGGGAGACGUGAGUUCCGAGGAGGAAACCGGAAUUCCACGUGUAGCGGUGGAACACGGAGGGAUGUGGAGGGACAGCAGUGGCGAAGGCGACUUUCUUAUCUGUAACUGAGGCUAGGGCGCGAAAGCGUGGGGGUCAAACAUGAUGAGAUACACGUGUAGUC
Molecule: ribosomal RNA, 465 nt
Filed under: uncultured bacterium
Lineage: Bacteria
Description: bacterial SSU rRNA
Rfam family: Bacterial small subunit ribosomal RNA
Source: RNAcentral